This 270-nucleotide ribosomal RNA is filed under the name uncultured bacterium. Its description in RNAcentral is "partial 16S ribosomal RNA". It matches the Rfam family "Bacterial small subunit ribosomal RNA", at positions 87 to 354 of the family's 1533-position model. The record is from RNAcentral.
CAUUCGGAGUGGCGGACGGGUGAGUAACGCGUGGGUAACCUGGCCUUACACAGGGGGAUAACACCUGGAAACAGGUGCUAAUACCGCAUAAGCGCACAGGGCCGCAUGGCCCGGUAGUGAAAAACUCCGGUGGUGUAAGAUGGACCCGCGUCUGAUUAGCUUGUUGGGCGGGGUAGGGGCCCACCAAGGCGACGAUCAGUAGCCGGCCUGAGAGGGUGGACGGCCACAUUGGGACUGAGACACGGCCCAAACUCCUACGGAAGGCAGCAG